This 465-nucleotide ribosomal RNA is filed under the name uncultured bacterium. RNAcentral describes it as "partial 16S ribosomal RNA". It matches the Rfam family "Bacterial small subunit ribosomal RNA", at positions 28 to 506 of the family's 1533-position model. The record is from RNAcentral.
GAUGAACGCUGGCGGCGUGCUUAACACAUGCAAGUCGAACGAUGAAGCCCAGCUUGCUGGGUGUGCUAGUGGCGAACGGGUGAGUAACACGUGAGUAACCUGCCCUUGACACUGUGAUAAGCGCUGGGGACGGCGUCUCAUACCGGAUACGAGCUUCCACCGCAUGGUGAGUUGCUGGAAAGAAUUUCGGUGAGGGAUGUACUCGCGGCCUAUCUGGUGUUUGGUGGGGUAAGGGCUCACAAAGCCGACGCGGGGUAUCGGGCCUCGGAGGGGGCCGGGCCACACGGGAACGGGGACACGGCCCAGACUCCUACGGGAGGAAGAAGUGGGGAAUAUGGAACAAUGGGCGCAAGCCUGAGGCAGAACCGCGGCGGGAGGAACGAAGGCCUUCGGGUGGUAAACCUCUUUGAGCGGGGAAGAAGCGAAAGUGACGGUACCUGCAGAAAAAGCACCGGCUAACUACGU